This 911-nucleotide ribosomal RNA is filed under the name uncultured bacterium. RNAcentral describes it as "bacterial SSU rRNA". It matches the Rfam family "Bacterial small subunit ribosomal RNA", at positions 52 to 944 of the family's 1533-position model. The record is from RNAcentral.
UAUCCGCAAGUCGAGCGAACAGACGAGGAGCUUGCUCCUCUGACGUUAGCGGCGGACGGGUGAGUAGCACGUGGAUAACCUACCUAUAAGACUGGGAUAGCUUCGGGAAACCGGAGCUAAUACCGGAUAAUACAUUGAACCGCAUGGUCCAAUAGUGAAAGACGGUUUUGCUGUCACUUAUAGAUGGAUCCGCGCCGCAUUAGCUAGUUGGUAAGGUAACGGCUUACCAAGACAACGAUGCGUAGCCGACCUGAGAGGGUGAUCGGCCACACUGGAACUGAGACACGGUCCAGACUCCUACGGGAGGCAGCAGUAGGGAAUCUUCCGCAAUGGGCGAAAGCCUGACGGAGCAACGCCGCGUGAGUGAUGAAGGUCUUCGGAUCGUAAAACUCUGCUACUAGGGAAGAACAAAUGUGUAAGUAACUAUGCACGUCUUGACGGUACCUAAUCAGCAAGCCACGGCUAACUACGUGCCAGCAGCCGCGGUAAUACGUAGGUGGCAAGCGUUAUCCGGAAUUAUUGGGCGUAAAGCGCGCGUAGGUGGUUUUUUAAGUCUGAUAUGAAAGCCCACGGCUCAACCGUGGAGGGUCAUUGGAAACUGGAAAACUUGAGUGCAGAAGAGGAAAGUGGAAUUCCAUGUGUAGCGGUGAAAUGCGCAGAGAUAUGGAGGAACACCAGUGGCGAAGGCGACUUUCUGGUCUGUAACUGACGCUGAUGUGCGAAAGCGUGGAGAUCAAACAGGAUUAGAUACCCUGGUAGUCCACGCCGUAAACGAUGAGUGCUAAGUGUUAAGGGGUUUCCGCCCCUUAGUGCUGCAGCUAACGCAUUAAGCACUCCGCCUGGGGAGUACGACCGCAAGGCUGAAACUCAAUGGAAUUGACGGGGACCCGCACAAGCGGUGGAGCGUGUGG